RNAcentral lists this ribosomal RNA (497 nucleotides) under uncultured bacterium. RNAcentral describes it as "partial 16S ribosomal RNA". It matches the Rfam family "Bacterial small subunit ribosomal RNA", at positions 28 to 507 of the family's 1533-position model. The record is from RNAcentral.
GACGAACGCUGGCGGCGUGCCUAAUACAUGCAAGUUGAGCGCUGAAGGUUGGUACUUGUACCGACUGGAUGAGCAGCGAACGGGCGAGUAACGCGUGGGGAAUCUGCCUUUGAGCGGGGGACAACAUUUGGAAACGAAUGCUAAUACCGCAUAAAAACUUUAAACACAAGUUUUAAGUUUGAAAGAUGCAAUUGCAUCACUCAAAGAUGAUCCCGCGUUGUAUUAGCUAGUUGGUGAGGUAAAGGCUCACCAAGGCGAUGAUACAUAGCCGACCUGAGAGGGUGAUCGGCCACAUUGGGACUGAGACACGGCCCGAACUCCUACGGGAGGCAGCAGUAGGGAAUCUUCGGCAAUGGACGAAAGUCUGACCGAGCAACGCCGCGUGAGUGAAGAAGGUUUUCGGAUCGUAAAACUCUGUUGGUGGAGAAGAACGUUGGUGAGAGUGGAAAGCUCAUCAAGUGACGGUAACUACCCAGAAAGGGACGGCUAACUACGUG